GUGACAUCCCAAGCCUUGUUGCUCAUCUCAAGGAUGAUCACAAUGUUGACAUGCAUGAUGGGUGUACCUUUAAUCAUCGAUAUGUCAAAUCAAAUCCUCAUGAAGUUGAAAAUGCCACAUGGAUGCUAACUGUCUUCAACUGUUUUGGAAGACAGUUCUGCUUGCAUUUUGAGGCGUUUCAGCUGGGUAUGGCACCAGUAUACAUGGCCUUUUUACGUUUUA
Molecule: unclassified non-coding RNA, 222 nt
Filed under: Hevea brasiliensis (rubber tree)
Lineage: Eukaryota; Viridiplantae; Streptophyta; Magnoliopsida; Malpighiales; Euphorbiaceae
Source: RNAcentral